UACGUAGGGGGCUAGCGUUGUCCGGAAUCAUUGGGCGUAAAGAGCGUGUAGGCGGCCCGGUAAGUCCGCUGUAAAAGUCAAAGGCUCAACCUCGAGACGCCGGUGGAAACCAUCUAGCUAGAGUCCGGAAGAGGAGAGUGGAAUUCCUGGUGUAGCGGUGAAAUGCGCAGAUAUCAGGAAGAACACCCGUGGCGAAGGCGGCUCUCUGGGACGUGACUGACGCUGAGGUGCGAAAGCGUGGGGAGCAAACAGG
RNAcentral lists this ribosomal RNA (253 nucleotides) under uncultured bacterium. RNAcentral describes it as "partial 16S ribosomal RNA". It matches the Rfam family "Bacterial small subunit ribosomal RNA", at positions 524 to 776 of the family's 1533-position model. The record is from RNAcentral.